Long non-coding RNA from Priapulus caudatus, 359 nucleotides. RefSeq lists it as uncharacterized. The transcript is spliced from 4 exons. The record is from RefSeq and is a predicted model, not a curated record. Lineage: Eukaryota; Metazoa; Priapulida; Priapulimorpha; Priapulimorphida; Priapulidae.
CCGACCAAAUCCUCAAUCGUCACUUUAAGAGAUGGCACGCGCUGCCACCGACCUACUGCUCCGAGGUCAACAAUUCGUUUGCCUACGUUCCUCCAGGAGGAGACGCUCUAACACGCUGUCUCCACACAUACGGGUCUCGUGGUUUUCUGGAAACACGUGGAAGCCGUGGAUGCUAGCAGUUUGUGGAAAGGAGCAGAAGAUUUUGUGUAUGGGAGGUGGACAGGUUAUCCCGCGCAUCUUGAAAAGUGGUUUGAGAUUUAUGACAAGCACGUCAAACCCCUUCUCUUCACGCUUCUUUGAACACCAGGUGCGGGGCAAGGCAUCCAUCAAAUGACAGGCGACCGUAGACGCCUUCUCUC